CCUACGGGGGGCAGCAGUGGGGAAUAUUGGACAAUGGGCGCAAGCCUGAUCCAGCCAUGCCGCGUGAGUGAUGAAGGCCUUAGGGUUGUAAAGCUCUUUUACCCGGGAAGCGGUACCGGGAGAAUAAGCCCCGGCUAACUUCGUGCCAGCAGCCGCGGUAAUACGAAGGGGGCUAGCGUUGUUCGGAUUUACUGGGCGUAAAGCGCACGUAGGCGGAUCUUUAAGUCAGAGGUGAAAUCCCAAGGCUCAACCUUGGAACUGCCUUUGAUACUGGGGAUCUCGAGUUCGGGAGAGGUGAGUGGAACUGCGAGUGUAGAGGUGAAAUUCGUAGAUAUUCGCAAGAACACCAGUGGCGAAGGCGGCUCACUGGCCGAACUGACGCUGAGGUGCGAAAGCGUGGGGAGCAAACAGGAUUAGAUACCCUUGUAGUC
Molecule: ribosomal RNA, 431 nt
Filed under: uncultured bacterium
Lineage: Bacteria
Description: partial 16S ribosomal RNA
Rfam family: Bacterial small subunit ribosomal RNA
Source: RNAcentral